RNAcentral lists this ribosomal RNA (440 nucleotides) under uncultured bacterium. Its description in RNAcentral is "partial 16S ribosomal RNA". It matches the Rfam family "Bacterial small subunit ribosomal RNA", at positions 338 to 795 of the family's 1533-position model. The record is from RNAcentral.
CCUACGGGGGGCAGCAGUGGGGAAUAUUGCACAAUGGGGGAAACCCUGAUGCAGCGACGCCGCGUGAGUGAAGAAGUAUUUCGGUACGUAAAGCUCUAUCAGCAGGGAAGAAAAUGACGGUACCUGACUAAGAAGCCCCGGCUAACUACGUGCCAGCAGGCGCGGUAAUACGUAGGGGGCAAGCGUUAUCCGGAUUUACUGGGUGUAAAGGGAGCGUAGACGGCAGCGCAAGUCUGGAGUGAAAUCCCAUGGCUUAACCAUGGAACUGCUUUGGAAACUGUGCAGCUAGAGUGCAGGAGAGGUAAGCGGAAUUCCUAGUGUAGCGGUGAAAUGCGUAGAUAUUAGGAGGAACACCAGUGGCGAAGGCGGCUUACUGGACUGUAACUGACGUUGAGGCUCGAAAGCGUGGGGAGCAAACAGGAUUAGAUACCCGGGUAGUC